CGUUCAGUCUGAGGCAAGCCAGGGCAAUCCAGGCAGCAUCAGCUUCUGUUAUUUGUGAAAUGAAGAUCAUCCCUUUCUCUGAAAAUCAGUCUUUAACUGCUAGCAACACACAGAUCUAAGAUUAAACUUCUGCAAAGUCCUGAUUAACCAGUACCAGAUAGUGGGAGCUGGAAGAAUCACUGAAGAAAUGGUAAAAAAGAAAAGGGAGGGCAGAAAUUAUUCCCAUAUUUCUUUAGAAUCUGGA
Molecule: long non-coding RNA, 244 nt
Filed under: Calidris pugnax (ruff)
Lineage: Eukaryota; Metazoa; Chordata; Aves; Charadriiformes; Scolopacidae
Description: lncRNA (ENSCPUG00000001160.1)
Source: RNAcentral